UACGUAGGGUCCGAGCGUUGUCCGGAGUUACUGGGCGUAAAGCGCGCGCAGGCGGCUCGGCAAGCAUGGCGUGAAAGCCCCCGGCUCAACCGGGGAGAGUCGUCGUGGACUGCCGGGCGUUGAGGGCGGCAGGGGUUGGUGGAAUUCCCGGUGUAGUGGUGAAAUGCGUAGAGAUCGGGAGGAACACCCGUGGCGAAGGCGGCCAACUGGGCCGGCCCUGACGCUGAGGCGCGAAGG
This 237-nucleotide ribosomal RNA is filed under the name uncultured bacterium. Its description in RNAcentral is "partial 16S ribosomal RNA". It matches the Rfam family "Bacterial small subunit ribosomal RNA", at positions 524 to 759 of the family's 1533-position model. The record is from RNAcentral.